GAUGAAGAACGUAGUGAAAUGCGAUAAGUAAUGCGAAUUGCAGAAUUCCAGUGAGUCAUCGAAUCUUUGAACGCACAUUGCGCCCCCUGGUAUUCCGGGGGGCAUGCCUGUCCGAGCGUCAUUGCUGCCCUCAAGCACGGCUUGUGUGUUGGGCCUCCGUCCUCCUCCCGGGGGACGGGCCCGAAAGGCAGCGGCGGCACCGCGUCCGGUCCUCGAGCGUAUGGGGCUUCGUCACCCGCUCUUGUAGGCCCGGCCGGCGCUUGCCGACACAUCAAUCUUUUUUCCAGGUUGACCUCGGAUCAGGUAGGGAUACCCGCUGAACUUAAGCAUAUCAAUAAGCGGAGGA
This 346-nucleotide unclassified non-coding RNA is filed under the name soil metagenome. Its description in RNAcentral is "partial contains 5.8S ribosomal RNA, internal transcribed spacer 2, and large subunit ribosomal RNA". The stretch from base 1 to 121 matches the Rfam family "5.8S ribosomal RNA", at positions 35 to 154 of the family's 154-position model. The record is from RNAcentral.